RNAcentral lists this ribosomal RNA (250 nucleotides) under Pseudo-nitzschia pungens. RNAcentral's name for it is "partial Bacterial small subunit ribosomal RNA". It matches the Rfam family "Bacterial small subunit ribosomal RNA", at positions 932 to 1182 of the family's 1533-position model. Lineage: Eukaryota; Bacillariophyta; Bacillariophyceae; Bacillariales; Bacillariaceae. The record is from RNAcentral.
GUGGAGCAUGUGGUUUAAUUCGAUCAACGCGAAGAACCUUACCAGGGUUUGACAUGAUACGAAUUUCUUUGAAAGAAGAAAGUGCCUUUUGGAACGUAUACACAGGUGGUGCAUGGCUGUCGUCAGCUCGUGUUGUGAAAUGUUGGGUUAAGUCCCGUAACGAGCGCAACCCUUGUCCUUAUUUGCCAGCACGUAAUGGUGGGAACUCUAAGGAGACUGCCGGUGACAAGCCGGAGGAAGGUGGGGACGA